RNAcentral lists this long non-coding RNA (329 nucleotides) under Nannospalax galili (Upper Galilee mountains blind mole rat). RNAcentral's name for it is "lncRNA (ENSNGAG00000024571.1)". Lineage: Eukaryota; Metazoa; Chordata; Mammalia; Rodentia; Spalacidae. The record is from RNAcentral.
CAUGGAGAUGGGGGGUGGAGAGUCUGUGGACAUGUUCUGCCUCAGUUUUAGCUAUGCUGGGCAUAACUACUGUUUUUGGGAAGGGGACCAAUGUGGUGCUCUCCUCUGCUCCAGAUGAAUCUGACUAUCAGACUGAGUAUGAGGAGGAGCUGCCAGACAUCCCCAAGGACACAUAUGCUGACUUCCAGAGCACUGGGGUUGAGUUGGACUCUGACUCGGAGGACAAUCCUUCACUAUUGCAAUGGCACCCUGGCCUGGCUUCCUCAGAACAGCCCCAGGACUCCUUUCCCUGGCUCCCUGACAAAGAUAAGCAGGAGCCUGGGCACUAA